ACUCCUACGGGAGGCAGCAGUGAGGAAUAUUGCGCAAUGGGGGAAACCCUGACGCAGCAACGCCGCGUGGGUGAAGAAGGCCUUCGGGUCGUAAAGCCCUUUCGGACGGGACGAACGCUCCGCGGUGACAACCCGCGGAGUCUGACGGUACCGUAAGAAGAAGCACCGGCUAACUCCGUGCCAGCAGCCGCGGUAAUACGGAGGGUGCAAGCGUUGUUCGGAAUUACUGGGCGUAAAGCGCGUGUAGGCGGCCUUGCAAGCCAGACGUGAAAGCCCUCGGCUUAACCGGGGAAGUGCGUCUGGAACUGCUCGGCUCGAGUACGGGAGAGGGAGGCGGAAUUCCCAGUGUAGAGGUGAAAUUCGUAGAUAUUGGGAGGAACACCGGUGGCGAAAGCGGCCUCCUGGACCGAUACUGACGCUGAGACGCGAAAGCGUGGGGAGCAAACAGGAUUAGAUACCCUGGUAGUCCACGCGUGUAAACGAUGGGCACUAGGUGUGGGGGGUAUCCACUCCUCCCGUGCCGCAGCUAACGCACUAAGUGCCCCGC
RNAcentral lists this ribosomal RNA (547 nucleotides) under uncultured bacterium. Its description in RNAcentral is "bacterial SSU rRNA". It matches the Rfam family "Bacterial small subunit ribosomal RNA", at positions 335 to 872 of the family's 1533-position model. The record is from RNAcentral.